GGAUGUGAGGGCUAUCUGGCUGUGGCACCUGUCAUCCCAUCGAUUGCUAGAGUUGAUUCAGCUGAUCUGGCUGGCUAAGCGGGUGUCCCCUUCCUCCCUCACCUCUCCAUAUACGUCCCUCCCGAAGCUGUGUGCUCGGUUGAAGAGGACGGCCUUCUCUGCUAGAAGGAGGACCAUCCUUCGGUCAAGGGUAUAAAGGAGCUGUGCUCCCCUGCUAGAACCUCCAAACAAGUCUCAAAAAUGGAGUCGCAGAUUUGACAGAUGUAUUAAGUGUAAUGGACAGUACUUUGAAAGUGAUAAGGUUGUUUUGU
This 311-nucleotide small nuclear RNA is filed under the name Echinops telfairi (small Madagascar hedgehog). RNAcentral describes it as "7SK RNA (ENSETEG00000020995.1)". It matches the Rfam family "7SK RNA". From Rfam's summary of the family: 7SK was discovered as an abundant small nuclear RNA in the mid-70s but a possible function has only recently been suggested. The record is from RNAcentral. Lineage: Eukaryota; Metazoa; Chordata; Mammalia; Afrosoricida; Tenrecidae.